Molecule: long non-coding RNA, 1011 nt
Filed under: Scleropages formosus (Asian bonytongue)
Lineage: Eukaryota; Metazoa; Chordata; Actinopteri; Osteoglossiformes; Osteoglossidae
Description: lncRNA (ENSSFOG00015027376.1)
Source: RNAcentral
UGUCUUAACAUUUUAGUGUAAAUUACCAAAAGUAAUCUGUAGUACUUUUGCUGCUCAAGCCAAAAUGUAAACUAUGGAGCUGAAUCCUUGUGGAGAGAAACAUACAGAAAUGUAACUGAAAAUAUGUGUAUUACCUUCUGAUGAAAAUAAACCAGGUUUACGUUUUAUAACACGCUUCCACGUGCAAUCGGUGUUUUUUUUUUUUCUCAUCUUAAGGGUGUCCACAAACUGGACAAUAAAUUAGUCAUAUCUGAACGGGUCCACUUUGAAGAGACAUAUUUAUCUUCUUUUUGCUGACUCAUUUAAAUUCUACCGUACCUGACCUCUUUCCUUCUCACUCUUCUUUCCACCAUAUGAACCAGUGUUCCUCACGUGAGUAGUUUCAUAAAACUCAAUAUCGACUAUUCCUGAUCACCUUCCUACUAAUUUUUUUUUUUUUUUUUUUGAGAUUUGUAUAAACAUUUACGUUACAUUGCAGGAGUAGCUGCCUAAAGUUUUAUCUGGGCAUGAUAUUAAAGUUAUGGUGCAUGAACCUUUACACCUUACAUGAAUUUAAGAGAUUAUGGGCAGAGUAAGUCUGGAAGAGGUGAGUUUUCAGACCCUUUUUAAAUGUGGACAAAGAAUCAGCAGUUUUGAGUGAGAGAGGGAGGUUGUUCCACUACAACAGAGGUAGAACUAAGUACCUCCAUGCUUUACCUUUCGUGCAGGGGACCACCAAGUGGGCAAAUGUGGAAGAGCAUAGUGGUCUGGUUGGCGUGUAGUCUUGUCCAUACUGUACUGCAGAAGAGAAGAAGCUGUGGGGGACAGAUGGCAACAUAGUGGUUAGAGCUGCUGCCUUUGGACCCAACGGUCACAAGUUCCAAUCCCCACUCCAGCUGUUGUACCCGUCAGCAAGGUACUCCCUCUAAAUUGCCCCUGUAAAAUAACCCAUCUGUAUGAAUGUAUAAGUAAUUAUAAGUCACUUUGGAGAAUAGUGUCAGCUAAAUGAAUAAAGAUUAGAAGCCUUCCCCA